AGAAAAGGAGAGGUGGGGUUUUUAUUGAUUUAAAUGGAAAAUUAAGAGAAGAGGGAAGGAGAGGAAAGUGAUUUUCCAAAAAAAAUCCUACAUCCAAAAUUCUUAAAAACACAAAUCCAAAAAAAGGGGAAAAAGUUAUUGCAACACGUUACAAAAAAAACUAAAACUAAGUAUUAAAAUUUCCGCUGUCAUUUGCUUUGUCGUCGCUUGCAAAGGGGCUGCUACCUGAAACACGACAAAAAAAGAAAUUUCGAUUCAAGGUAAUCAUUCAAACAUUUCUAUUCGAAAGCAUUCACACAACAUUCAUACAUACACAUUGUUGUACUUAUACUCCCUUAAACUACCGUCAAUUCUAAUAUUCAUUGUGACUAAUCAAGUGAACGUUUCAUGUUAGUAAAUAAGGCUAACAAACCCUUAAAAUAAGUUUUAAAAAUCAACUAAAGUUGCUGGAAAUUAUGAUAAACAAAGAAACCUAUAAUUAUCUUUCAUCAGAGAUCCAAAAAAUCAUGAAACUUGCAGUAUAAUCGAGUUAAAACACAGAUUAUUCGACUAAACAAGUUGCUGAACUUUUUUUUUACAUUAGCUAAAGUCAAGUUUUGUUACAAUAGAACUUGGAUAAAAUAUUUAAACUACUACUAUAAUCUCAAUAACGAAACUAAGUCAGUUCCUUAGGUAGCUAAUCAAGAAACAGAAAUCAAUAAAAAGUAGGCUAGACUUUUUUACCAAACUGCUUUCUCUCUAUCUCUGUUUUUCCACCAUUGUCGUCGAUUUCCGCUUCUAACCGAGAAAUCAAAAACAGAAUAAAAAAGGGGUUUCAAUCCUAGGUUUAUAGGUCGGGGCUUGCAUGUCACCGGAGGACCCGUCGGAACCUCCGACGACGAUAUGCAACCCCGGAUCUGGGUUAAACAAGAGAAAAACAACAAAAAAAGACUUUCAGAAAUGUUUUUACCUUUUUUCUCGUUGUUGAUGACUAAGGACAGAGAGGAAGAGGAGAAAGGAAGGGGAAGAAGAAAAAAAGAAAAGAAAAGGAAAAGGGAGAAGCGGCAGCGGCCGCCGUCGAGAAGGAAGAGAAGAGAGAAAGGAGAGGAAGGAGAAGAGGAAGAAGAGAAGAAAAAAAAAAAGAAAGGGGAAGAGGAAGCGUUGCGAUGCCGCCGGCGACGACGGUGAGGCGACGGUGGCGGCGACGAGGCGGCGGAGGCGGCAGCGAGGUAGAGGAGGCGAUGAUGAGGCGACGGCUAAGAGGAAGAAGAAGAGAAGGGAGAAAGAGAGUUAGAGAGAGGGGAGAUAUUUUUAGAAAGAAGUCAGAGAGAAUUGAGAGGAGAGUAGAGGAGAGAGAGUGGGAGGC
This 1345-nucleotide long non-coding RNA is filed under the name Linum usitatissimum (flax). RNAcentral's name for it is "long non-coding RNA (LUSI_LNC003926)". Lineage: Eukaryota; Viridiplantae; Streptophyta; Magnoliopsida; Malpighiales; Linaceae. The record is from RNAcentral.